RNAcentral lists this ribosomal RNA (878 nucleotides) under uncultured archaeon. RNAcentral's name for it is "bacterial SSU rRNA". It matches the Rfam family "Archaeal small subunit ribosomal RNA", at positions 114 to 997 of the family's 1478-position model. The record is from RNAcentral.
CUAAGGUGGGAGAUAACCCCGGGAAACUGGGGAUAAUACCCCAUAAUCUAUGGAAGCUGGAAUGCUCUAUAGUUGAAGGAUUUAUCGCCUUAGGAUGGGUCUGCGGCCGAUUAGGUAGUUGUUGGGGUAACGGCCCAACAAGCCUUUGAUCGGUACGGGUUGUGGGAGCAAGAGCCCGGAGAUGGAUUCUGAGACACGAAUCCAGGCCCUACGGGGCGCAGCAGGCGCGAAAACUUUACAAUGCGGGAAACCGUGAUAAGGGAACUCCGAGUGCCCGUAAACGCGGGCUGUCCAUCUGCUUAAAAAACAGGUGAAGAAAGGGCCGGGCAAGACCGGUGCCAGCCGCCGCGGUAAUACCGGCGGCUCGAGUGGUGGCCACUAUUACUGGGCUUAAAGCGUCCGUAGUUUGGUUGUUAAGUCUCUUGGGAAAUCUGUCGGCUUAACCGACAGGCGUUUAAGGGAUACUGGCAAUCUAGGGACCGGGAGAGGUGAGAGGUACUUCAGGGGUAGGAGUGAAAUCCUGUAAUCCUUGGGGGACCACCUGUGGCGUAGGCGUCUCACCAGAACGGCUCCGACAGUGAGGGACGAAAGCUGGGGGAGCAAACCGGAUUAGAUACCCGGGUAGUCCCAGCCGUAAACGAUGCGCGUUAGGUGUAUCGGUGACCACGAGUCACCGAGGUGCCGAAGGGAAACCGUGAAACGUGCCGCCUGGGAAGUACGGUCGCAAGGCUGAAACUUAAAGGAAUUGGCGGGGGAGCACCACAACAGGUGGAGCCUGCGGUUUAAUCGGACUCAACGCCGGAAACCUCACCGGAUAAGACAGCGGGAUGAUAGCCAGGCUGAAGACUUUGCUUGACUAGCUGAGAGGAGGUGCAUGG